AUGUGGUUAAGUUACUAAGGGCACACGGUGGAUGCCUUGGCGCUAGGAGCCGAAGAAGGACGCAGCGAACUGCGAUAAGCCUCGGGGAGCGGUAAGCACGCUUUGAUCCGGGGAUCUCCGAAUGGGGAAACCCACCAUCUGUAAUGGGAUGGUAUCCAUCACUGAAUACAUAGGUGAUGAGAAGGCAGACCCGGUGAACUGAAACAUCUAAGUAGCCGGAGGAAGAGAAAACAAUAGUGAUUCCGUCAGUAGUGGCGAGCGAACGCGGAAGAGCCUAAACCGUCGGGUUUACCCGGCGGGGUU
This 303-nucleotide ribosomal RNA is filed under the name Brevibacillus brevis. RNAcentral's name for it is "partial 23S ribosomal RNA". It matches the Rfam family "Bacterial large subunit ribosomal RNA", at positions 1 to 299 of the family's 2925-position model. The record is from RNAcentral. Lineage: Bacteria; Bacillati; Bacillota; Bacilli; Caryophanales; Paenibacillaceae.